This 451-nucleotide ribosomal RNA is filed under the name uncultured bacterium. RNAcentral's name for it is "partial 16S ribosomal RNA". It matches the Rfam family "Bacterial small subunit ribosomal RNA", at positions 354 to 796 of the family's 1533-position model. The record is from RNAcentral.
GUGGGGAAUAUUGGACAAUGGGGGGAACCCUGAUCCAGCCAUGCCGCGUGUGUGAAGAAGGCCUUUUGGUUGUAAAGCACUUUAAGCGAGGAGGAGGCUACCGAGAUUAAUACUCUUGGAUAGUGGACGUUACUCGCAGAAUAAGCACCGGCUAACUCUGUGCCAGCAGCCGCGGUAAUACAGAGGGUGCAAGCGUUAAUCGGAUUUACUGGGAGUAAAGCGCGCGUAGGUGGCCAAUUAAGUCAAAUGUGAAAUCCCCGAGCUUAACUUGGGAAUUGCAUUCGAUACUGGUUGGCUAGAGUAUGGGAGAGGAUGGUAGAAUUCCAGGUGUAGCGGUGAAAUGCGUAGAGAUCUGGAGGAAUACCGAUGGCGAAGGCAGCCAUCUGGCCUAAUACUGACACUGAGGUGCGAAAGCAUGGGGAGCAAACAGGAUUAGAUACCCGAGUAGUCC